This 1464-nucleotide long non-coding RNA is filed under the name Monodelphis domestica (gray short-tailed opossum). Its description in RNAcentral is "lncRNA (ENSMODG00000040660.1)". Lineage: Eukaryota; Metazoa; Chordata; Mammalia; Didelphimorphia; Didelphidae. The record is from RNAcentral.
AUGUACUUGGUGGCCGAGCUCUGGGCUGGGAGGAGGCCUAGACUGCUGGGCAGAGUUUCUGUCAGGAAGUCUGGCUGUGGAUCACAUGGGUGGCCUGGCACAGGGACCAGUGCACAGCCCUGGGUCAUCCAGCUCUGCCUGAGAGGGACCGCACCACAGGUUCUCUCGAGGUCCCGCUUCACUUGGAAAUCUCUGCCACGCUCCAGAUGGUUCCAAAGCCUCACUGACUCACUGAGUCACGAUCUUCAGUCCCUGGGAGGGCUCAGCCACAGCCAGCUCUCGGGGCCCACAGGAAGGAGCCAGUUCCUGGAGCUGGCGUCAAGGACGAGGUCUUGGUCCCAAGGAGCCCUGAAUUGGAGCUGGGCUGGGCCAGGUUGCCAGGCUAAUAGCAUUUAUUGGACUCACUUUCAUGCAUUGCUGGAAUCCACGGCCAGCCACGGUAGGGGCUGAGGAGGAGAUUUUGCAUUUUCCCUGGCACCACCUUGGAAGUGAAUCCUCUUUCCUUGAAAACCAGGAAAAACACCAAAGCACAAUGGGCCCUUACUCAGGUUUGGACUGAUCUUUUUGAGCCUCACGACGACCAUGUGAGAUGCCAAUGAACUAUCUUGCGCAUAAGGAAGGCUCUGGGAACAGGGCUCAGACACAGCUUCUAAGUGUUAGAAGGAGGAUUUGAAUCCAGAUCCUGACUCCCUCAUCCUGUCCUCUUUCCACGACACCUCACUGCCUCCAAACAUAGUCCUUAGAUAAACCAGCCAGUAAACGAUGUUCCUGUUCCUCGGGGGCUGCAGGCCCAGUCCUGAGCCAGCUCAGGCUGAAAUCCCACGCUGGGACUUCGGUGCUGGUCUUCCUUUUCCUACCCUUCAGGGCUGCCAGGCUCUUCCUGUUCCUCAUGUCGGUUGCGUAUAUUUGCCAGGGGUACAGCAGCUGUCUCCAGUCCAUUGGCUCUUCCCAGCUGUCUGAAAGCGCCUCUUCCAAUGGUGUGGCCCUACUAGGCCCCAAGAUGCUAUUCUCUGCUUUUUUUCAUUCAUUUGGGGGCUGCUGAGGUCUCCAGGGCAGUUUGCUGAGCUCCUAAACCAACAGCACAGAGACACUGUGAGAAGGUAGAUUGGCAUCGCCUCCUUGCUGGCCUAGCUCUUGUCUGUCCGCCUGCUCACUGCCCUGUGGCUCCCUGCUGGCUGGGAUCAGGGCUCUCACCUUGUUGCUUUAUUGGAUACAGGCUUACUUUUGGUGUCUGGGUCAGGGCCUGACGCUGUGGCCUUUGUGUGCCAUAAUUGGAUCUCAAAGCACGGACCUCUGAGAGCUACUUAAGCCUCAGCAUCAUGGCACUGGUCACUGCAGCAAAUCUGACCUUCCAUUGAAUGGCAGCCACUGACCUGAGGACAAUCGUGGUACCUCCAAAGGAGCAAGAGAGAAGACCAAGAGUCUGAGAAAUAAAGGAAGCAAGUAGGAGGUGGGGAUUGUGCA